RNAcentral lists this transfer RNA (93 nucleotides) under Cryomorphaceae bacterium. RNAcentral describes it as "tRNA-Gly(acc)". The record is from RNAcentral. Lineage: Bacteria; Pseudomonadati; Bacteroidota; Flavobacteriia; Flavobacteriales; Cryomorphaceae.
GGUGUGGUCGUCGAUGUUGCCGUAGACCGCUACCACCGGUUUUCCAGUGGCUUCAAGGGCAUCCAUGCUCUCGUGCGAACCGAUGUCACCCGC